RNAcentral lists this small RNA (29 nucleotides) under Bombyx mori (domestic silkworm). Its description in RNAcentral is "ovarian small RNA-19199". Lineage: Eukaryota; Metazoa; Arthropoda; Insecta; Lepidoptera; Bombycidae. The record is from RNAcentral.
UAAGAUCUGAAACAGUGUGCAAAGCUUAU